UACGAAGGAUGCGAGCGUUAUCCGGAUUAUUGGGUUAAAGGGAGCGUAGGCGUCUUAUAAGUCAGUGGUGAAAUCUCGUUGCUUAACAACGAACGUGCCAUUGAUACUGUAGGACUUGAGUACAGUUGCCGUUGGCGGAAUGUGUCAUGUAGCGGUGAAAUGCAUAGAUAUGACACAGAACACCGAUUGCGAAGGCAGCUGACGAAACUGUAACGUGACGCUGAGGCUCGAAAGCGUGGGAUCAACAGG
Molecule: ribosomal RNA, 249 nt
Filed under: uncultured bacterium
Lineage: Bacteria
Description: partial 16S ribosomal RNA
Rfam family: Bacterial small subunit ribosomal RNA
Source: RNAcentral